Hippocampus zosterae (dwarf seahorse) is the source of this 2912-nucleotide long non-coding RNA. RefSeq lists it as uncharacterized. The transcript has 2 exons. NCBI's taxonomy places the organism in Eukaryota, Metazoa, Chordata, Actinopteri, Syngnathiformes, Syngnathidae. The record is from RefSeq and is a predicted model, not a curated record.
UCGAAAGCGCUACAAUGGAGAGAUACAUGUGUCUCUGCUUGCAGUCACUGAAGCUGUCAAACUUGAUUUGAGAGAAGUUGUGCAACACAGCACUGGGAAAGUUUCGAUGGCUUUCCAAAAGAGAUUUCAACUCGGCCGCGGCGGCAAGGACAGCGGAGAAGAGUUACUUCCACCCGGCAGCUGCAACAAAGUGCUGAGUGGGACACAGAAGACCAAAUUCAAGGCGAGAGGAAUACCAGUCCUACAGUGACAUCGAUUCUUCCACAAAACAGGAGUGAGGAACGCCGGUGGCUUCAAAGCACCCACAGCCUUCUCCCGGGCCAAUUAUGUGCAUCAGGGAGAGACAGCUACAGCAAGCGUCACAUCUAUAAAGGCUCCAUCACUUGACUGCCUAUACAGCAGCCAAUAUAGAACUACGCUACAAUGCAGUAAACAAAUUGGACGUAAUUUCAUUCGACACCAAACUGGGUCUCCUUGAUGUGUGUUGUUUUUUUUUUUUGAGGGGUGGGGGUGGAUUAUUUGCAGUUGCACAGCAAUCAAACAUGAGUGAAUCCCCUCGCACAGAAAACGAUGUUCAUUCCUUUGAGAACUGAAAGAGGAGAUGAGUGACAGGCUGCUGAACUGGCCUUUGCCGGUCCUUCACGACGCCUUAUAGGGAGGCGGGAAAGCUCAUGGGCUCUUUCAACGCGGCACAAAGAGAAAAGGGACGUUAAAGAGGAUUAUUUAAAAAAAAGAGAGAGAGAGGGGAGAUGUUUAAAGAGAAAAAGGUCUGGCAACGCUUUCUGUGUUUGCCAUUCAGGUCAAACACAAGGGAGCAUUCAGCCAAUGGGAACUGAUUCCCACCUACCCCCACCCCCGGCUUCCACUUCAUCCCACACGGUUUUUCAAGAGGGAAGCUGCUUCACUGGCAAUAAGAGAACAUUUGGAAUAAACUCAAUGAACGCUGGAACAUGACGGAGCAGAGCCAGCAGCUCGCUUUGAGGCGCGACAAUGUUAAUCAGCCCAACGGUCCUGUUCAAAGACACUUGGCCCGCUGAGCAGCUCGCUGGCGUUUACAACUACAGCUGCUGCUUCACGUCACCAUUAAAAGAUGUUGACUGGCGGCUCGGAGAACAGUUUAUCAACUUAACAAGCUUUCAAUCCGUCGCCUCAACACCCACACCGGGACGCGCACGCGCAUUGCACAACGCGGACCGAAGAUGAGGGUAACAGGAAGGCUGUUUACUGGAGGGGGUUUGAACUGAAACGGAUACAAACAAAUGGACGCAUAUUAGCAAUUGAUCAAAUGAACAUGAACAAUUGUGUCAAUUAGGUGGACAUGAUUAAUCGUGUCAAGACAAAACAGCGCAAUGUUUGGUUGCAACCAGCAGAGGCACUGUUGAUUCACUCUCAACCAGUUUAUGGAUUGGCGGCAGAAUUGUUCGCAAAACAGGACCAUGCUGAGGCUGGGAUUAGUGAACUGUUCUUAACCCGCACCAAGGGGAUUAAAAAAAACAAAAAAAGUGUGGGGGGGUGGGGGGCAACCCCAAACUGUGCCUGCUUUGCUGAUAAACUUGAGUCCACAAGCCCAAGGACAUGCUUCAUGUUUUGCCAUGCAGAUGAUUCCCAAGUUACGCCAUAAAAAAAAAAUCAAUUUGAGUGAUCGCUCUGGCAAUAUUUUGCCUUUAGCAGCUGCAAUAAUCAAUUUUUGCAAAGGAAUUUCAUUCUGGAAAAGUAAUGAAGUUAAGAUUGCAUACAGGUUGCAUUUUCAGGUCGCUACCACUCGUUCGCCUUGCACCACCGACAAAGCACCAGACGCUGCCACCUUUCUCAACAUGAGCGUCGCCAGCCGAAUAACAAAUAGGAAAAUAUUCAUUUUUGUGGCCCUCAUUUAAAGUGGGAUCCUUUCUUCUGUAAAAGUAGAGAUUCAGUCGAAAGUUAAAAGGGUUAACAUUGCAAAAUAAGGGAGUCGAAUUAAUUUCCUGGUUUGGAGCACAAAUUGACGCCACCGUCGUCAGAUGUAGUCGUCGUAGCAAGUGAAUAUCUGCAGCUGCAGCACACACACUUCAGUUUCUGGUCACGGGAAGGUCUAAUCCCCCCUUUAUUCUGACUAGACCUCGCCCCACAUAUUGCAUGUCACUUUCAUUUUCCAUCACUUGUUUUCAGGGCUCUCUCUCAUCAGCAUAGCCAACAUUGAUGAGAGAGUCUCCGUGACAACCAUCACUGGGUGGUCUCGUUUUUAAGUCAAGGGAUAUUGCCGCAGAAUCUGACUUUCCGUCACCCUUUGGGAUUCUUACAAAUUUCUGCGCUAAAAACACGUAAAAUUACACACACCGACCAUAUGCAGUUGGACAUUUGUGUUUCAAACGGAAGCUUAAUUUCACUUUAAUGGAUUAUUUUAGUUUUUUUUUUUUUUUUAGUGGGGCUCCUUGAUGCCCACCUCUUUUUCACCACGCACACAUCUCAGCUCUCGAAAAAAAACCACAUCUCUCGCUUGUUUCCCCAAAGCCUAUCCUCUGAAACAACCUGCGAUCAUUAUAUUGUUUUUUUUUUUCCAUCGGGUUGAGUCGAAGAAACGUUGCUAUUAUUGUUUUCUCGCGCUCCGGUGUGGUAUUCACGUCCCCUGGCACAACCAUUAAAAAAAAUAAAUAAAUAACCCGAAAGAAUUGAGUGUAAAUUCAGGCAGGAAGGAAACAGGAAAUGAAGCUUUCAAAGGAAAAUCAAAGGAGGGGGAACACCUUUUCUGAAAUAUUAUCGAAUAGAACCCAACUAUGUGCUGCUGAAGUCAUUUCAAUCGAAUUGAUUCUGCAUUUGUUUCAGUAAUGAGCACAUAAAAGAGUAUUAGCACUACACCAAAAAUACAUAUAUACAUGUAAAAACAAAGUACCAAGAGUAAUGUUACAGGACAAAAGGUCGGCAAAAUAUUUAGGAAA